GAUGAACGCUGGCGGCGUGCCUAAUACAUGCAAGUCGAGCGAACAGACGAGGAGCUUGCUCCUCUGACGUUAGCGGCGGACGGGUGAGUAACACGUGGAUAACCUACCUAUAAGACUGGGAUAACUUCGGGAAACCGGAGCUAAUACCGGAUAAUAUAUUGAACCGCAUGGUUCAUUAGUGAAAGACGGUUUUGCUGUCACUUAUAGAUGGAUCCGCGCCGCAUUAGCUAGUUGGUAAGGUAACGGCUUACCAAGGCGACGAUGCGUAGCCGACCUGAGAGGGUGAUCGGCCACACUGGAACUGAGACACGGUCCAGACUCCUACGGGAGGCAGCAGUAGGGAAUCUUCCGCAAUGGGCGAAAGCUUGACGGAGCAACGCCGCGUGAGUGAUGAAGGUCUUCGGAUCGUAAAACUCUGUUAUUAGGGAAGAACAAAUGUGUAAGUAACUAUGCACGUCUUGACGGUACCUAAUCAGAAAGCCACGGCUAACUACGUG
Molecule: ribosomal RNA, 497 nt
Filed under: uncultured bacterium
Lineage: Bacteria
Description: partial 16S ribosomal RNA
Rfam family: Bacterial small subunit ribosomal RNA
Source: RNAcentral